CAGGGAGACAACAAAAUGUUUAAUAUUAUUAUUUUGUCACCUUAGGUCGAUCGGUAUCUCACGUUCUUAAUUAAUUAAGAAUUUCAUUUCCUAAGUUUUUCUAGGUCACACCCAUUAUUUUCCUGGGCCAUUAGCUCAGGUGGUUAGAGCGCACCCCUGAUAAGGGUGAGGUCCCUGGUUCAAGUCCAGGAUGGCCCAUCUCUCUAUGUUGGGGGUAUAGCUCAGUUGGUAGAGCGCCUGCUUUGCAAGCAGGAUGUCAGCGGUUCGAGUCCGCUUACCUCCACUGAUUACCACCUCUUCCAUAAUCUGUAGAAAGGAAAUGUUUUGAGUUGUGAUCAAAUUCUGAACGAAUCUAGCUUCCUAAUGAAAUCAUUAAGAUGCUGGACUCAUUGAAUAAAUUUCAUUGUUUUCAGAGAACCUUGACAACUGCAUAGAUUAUUUUUAAAGACAAUAAGCAUCUUGUAAUGAUGCAGAUUUAUUAUUUGUGCGAAUGCAUUAAUAACAAUUCUAUUAAGCUGAUGCUUCAAUUUUGAAGUUAUU
This 540-nucleotide transfer RNA is filed under the name uncultured Prochlorococcus sp. RNAcentral describes it as "partial 16S-23S ribosomal RNA intergenic spacer". The stretch from base 211 to 283 matches the Rfam family "tRNA". The record is from RNAcentral. Lineage: Bacteria; Bacillati; Cyanobacteriota; Cyanophyceae; Synechococcales; Prochlorococcaceae.